This 300-nucleotide ribosomal RNA is filed under the name Triticum aestivum (bread wheat). Its description in RNAcentral is "partial small subunit ribosomal RNA". The record is from RNAcentral. Lineage: Eukaryota; Viridiplantae; Streptophyta; Magnoliopsida; Poales; Poaceae.
AUGUGCAGCAACAGCUAUGGUCGCGGGUGGCGGAGGCGCGUCGUUGGAGGAGGAAGGCCAUGGCAGAGGAGGGGCUGCGUGGAGCAGGCCCAGAGUGGGACGGAGACGGGGGGUUCAAGGCGAAGGUCGCCGGAUCUAACUAGGAACUUGGCCGGAGCGGCAGCCUUGCUGUGGUCUGGGACGGCGUGGCUCGCCGUUGACGAGGAAGAAGCAGGGCGCCGGACUGUAGCAGGGGCUGCUAGAGGCUGGGAGCUCAGCGGCAGCGGCCAUGGGGGUUUGGGCACGGGGAAACGGGAAUAG